GCGGGCGUGGUGUAACGGCUGCACAAGACCCUUCCAAGGUCUUAGUACGGGUUCGACUCCCGUCGCCCGCU
Molecule: transfer RNA, 71 nt
Filed under: Actinomycetota bacterium
Lineage: Bacteria; Bacillati; Actinomycetota
Description: tRNA-Gly
Rfam family: tRNA
About the family: Transfer RNA (tRNA) molecules are approximately 80 nucleotides in length. Their secondary structure includes four short double-helical elements and three loops (D, anti-codon, and T loops).
Source: RNAcentral